UUCUGUCGUCAAACGGAUCAAGCUUUUUGUGAGACUUGGAUCGAUCACAAAAAGCGGGAUUCGCUUUUCGCAUAGGAA
Molecule: microRNA precursor, 78 nt
Filed under: Dinoponera quadriceps
Lineage: Eukaryota; Metazoa; Arthropoda; Insecta; Hymenoptera; Formicidae
Description: microRNA dqu-mir-6067 precursor
Source: miRBase by way of RNAcentral